UGUCCCAAGAUAUUGCACCCAACAACAUCAAGAUAAUAGGCUGCGAUGAUUUAGAAAAUUCUCUUCCUCCAAUCUGGGCAUAGGUUCUCAAAGCUAAAUUACUUCGGGUGGAGCACACCAAGUGCUGAGCAAACAGAUUUCCAAAUGGCAGAGAUGAACUCGCAUGUUGAAAACAAAUGAUCCAUGGUUUCCCUUGCCUCAUUUCAAAGUGCACACCCUCUG
This 222-nucleotide long non-coding RNA is filed under the name Elaeis guineensis (African oil palm). RNAcentral's name for it is "long non-coding RNA (EGUI_LNC032976)". Lineage: Eukaryota; Viridiplantae; Streptophyta; Magnoliopsida; Arecales; Arecaceae. The record is from RNAcentral.